Molecule: long non-coding RNA, 933 nt
Filed under: Anser brachyrhynchus (Pink-footed goose)
Lineage: Eukaryota; Metazoa; Chordata; Aves; Anseriformes; Anatidae
Description: lncRNA (ENSABRG00000015384.1)
Source: RNAcentral
AUGGUCUUGGCCAGAUUUGCAAAGAUGUCUUGCUACCUGCGAUGCAAGCAGCAACUCUGCAAGUUACUCCGACAGGCUAACAAAAUCACAGGGAAAUCUAAAUCUAUUCAAGAGAGAAGGAAAGAAACAGAGCAUAUAAUGUGGGACAGUGAUUUCUUGGGAAGGAGUGAUGGCUGUGAUCUGCAUUUAAGACAUGCUUGUGUUGGCCUGCAGAGGACAGAGAAGCAACUCAUAUCACUCAUCAGAAAUUCCUGCCAAGCUCUAUACAUCUGACAGCUGUGAAGAGAAUCAUCAGAGAAGGAGGGCCCUGCCUUCAGUGUAAAAGGUCUCAGGGAAAGGAGUAGUUAGAGACUGUCUCCUCUCAGAAGACCUAACCUAAUCACAACACUGGUGCCUCUUUAGACCCCUACAGUGGCAUCUAAGGGGCUCGUGGAGGGGAUUAUGGGCAACUCCUCAACACAAUGCGCAAGAGGAAGAGCAGUAUAGCAACAGGAGCCCUGGCCCCUGCUGUGAGACCUAACCAGGGCUAGCAGCAGCUAUCAAACUCUCUGCAAGGGGGCGCAGCAGGAGAAUGGCAACGGCUCUUAAGCCCUCCACAGGACAUUAGAGAUGAGUACUAAAAAGUACUAGAAAAUCACACAGGAGUACUUAAAUAUUACUUGAUCAUUAACAUAGUAAUUACAUCAGUGCUGCUCCUGCCUGAUGCCAUAAUUUAAGAGGAUUCAGCAUUUUCAUUUUAAUCAGUAGCAGUUAUUUCCUGUGGUUCAUUGCCCAUAAAAUGUUCACCAUGAGAAAAAAGGGGAAGAGACUUUGCCAGGAUGUCAAUUAACAUCCACCAUGGACUUGUGCGUCCCUGAGCUGCAAAUCACUCUGGUGGGUGCUUCAUCAGGCUUCAGGGGGGCCACACAGGGCACAUUUCUUCCUGAAAGCUUU